This 253-nucleotide ribosomal RNA is filed under the name uncultured prokaryote. RNAcentral describes it as "partial 16S ribosomal RNA". It matches the Rfam family "Bacterial small subunit ribosomal RNA", at positions 525 to 777 of the family's 1533-position model. The record is from RNAcentral.
ACGUAGGGCGCAAGCGUUAUCCGGAAUUAUUGGGCGUAAAGAGCUCGUAGGCGGUUUGUCGCGUCUGCCGUGAAAGUCCGGGGCUCAACUCCGGAUCUGCGGUGGGUACGGGCAGACUAGAGUGAUGUAGGGGAGACUGGAAUUCCUGGUGUAGCGGUGAAAUGCGUAGAGAUCGGGAGGAACACCAGUGGCGAAGGCGGCUACCUGGACCAGCACUGACACUGAGGCACGAAAGCGUGGGGAGCAAACAGGA